CGCCCGGUUACAUUCCGAACCCGGAAGCUAAGCCUUACAGCGCCGAUGGUACUGCAGGGGGGACCCUGUGGGAGAGUAGGACGCCGCCGAACA
Molecule: ribosomal RNA, 93 nt
Filed under: Streptomyces sp. HGB0020
Lineage: Bacteria; Bacillati; Actinomycetota; Actinomycetes; Kitasatosporales; Streptomycetaceae
Source: RNAcentral